AUGGAAUUCAAGAGAAACAAUUAAAAGACCAAGGUGAGCGCUGUGAAUGAUCAUUUUGUGGAGUGGCGAGUUUAUAUGAUUGUAUGGCAAAUGGUGAAAGCGAUGCAUACAUAUGAAUUGGUAGCUGCUCUUUCAGAUACCGGGCUUCACAAUCUGCUUGGUGAUCGAAAUCUGUUGGUAGGCCUCUUUGGUUACGGCAAAGUAAUUGCAAUACUUAAGCCUAAUUUGGUUGUUAUAGGAAUGGCACCGUGUAGAAGAUUUGAAAUUGGAGAAAUCACUCGAAAUUUCCUGAAGGAGCAAAGCUGUCUUUUGAAGCCGAAGAUAUCAUUACCAGACUCAUGUGCUAUGUCAGUUGAAGGCAUGUCAAUCAAAGGCUCAGAACUAGAGGGUCAUAUGAGAUAAAGGUAGAAAUCUAAGGUCAGUAACUGUUAUUGUGUUGUACACUCGUUGAUCUGGUUUACACAUAUCAGGAACACAUAGUUUUAGAUGGAAGCUGCGUUUUUGCCCAAGGUUGAUGACUAACUAGAUACUCGGAACUUUGAGAAAUUUGAAUAGGUAACAUUUAUGCUCAUCUGGUAUAUUUUUUAAAGUAAUUCUACGUCAGAACAUACAUCUCACUAGUACAAGAGGGUUAUCAUCUUCUACUGGAUCAUGAUUCAAAAUUCACAUAUACAGUUCCAGGGUAUGCUAUAGGAAUUAAACUAUUCUACAUGUGCCUUUUGAUAUGUGCAUCACAAGCACCAAUUAAAAGGAAUGUCUUCUUAUGUUAACACCAUAAGUGCAAUAAUUUUGAACUUCAGCAGCGGUUCCACAGACCUGGUAGUUUAUGCUGAUAUAAAUGACAUCAAAUCCUACACUCAGCUUUGCUCCUUCAAAAAAUGAAACUGAGUCAUAUUAUCUACUGAUUACAAUGUUUGUGUCUUUUCUAAUUUCCAACUUAAAUUUGAUUUCCUGUUUCAAAUUUGUAGUCUAAAUUCAUAAUUCUUAAAUAAAAAACUGUUUGUAUUAUUAGUAAUAUAUUUAUGCAGAAGUGUGGUAUUUUAGGUAAUCUAACAGUCUAGUCAAUUAAAUUCUUAGCACCAACAAAGAUCCACUGAUACUCGAUACACGUUUUAGAAUUUUAGAAAUUUUAAUUAGCAGAAAUGAAACAAAAUGGAGAGUAGCAGACAACCAAGAAACAAACUAGAAUCCUACACUAUUGAUAGCCCAAAUCCUACGAACUUCUAGCCCCUCUCUCUUCUAUUAUUUUCUCGAGUCCCGUUCACCUGAACUCUCCUGCCUAUGGUGUUCGGAUACUCAACAAGCUGAUCAACUAUUAGAUCCUUCCAACUCCUCUGCUCCAUGACUGCCUUGUAAAUUCAAUCUGCUUGACCUCAGCCUAAAUGCAAAACAGUACUGAUUAGAUAAUGUUAUCAUAAUCUGUGUAAUAGUAGUCUACCAACUCAGAUUGAGGAAAUAUUAAUAAUAUAACAACUGAGAAGCAUGCUAAACAUUCACUCUUAUGGGUUUUCAAGUAAUUUGACACAGAAAUAUUUAUCAAACAAUUAGAUUAUUAAAUAUUUUCCUAGUUGGGAAGCUAUUAUUCACAUAGUGUCGUGAAAGAUUAUCUUAUAAGUUGUAUAGUCAUCGUGAAACUCAUCCUGUAAUGUUAUUUAUAUGCACACAAAACAUCACAGAGAUUUACAAAGUACUAACAAACAUUUAAUACAUGAUUGAUAUGUAUUUCUUUACAAUGGAAUAAACAAAGACCUUACUUCAGUAAUCUGCCUUGCCACUCAUCGGCGAAGCAGGAGUGGUUGGCCUGUCUAGUAAGAUCCAGAUCCAGACAUCCUUAUCUUGAUAUUUACAAUAAUCACUCUCGUCCGUGAUCACAUGCACUGCAACGUCUUCCCCAAUAUGCGAUUCUUCCUCUAUAAUCUCCAAAAUCCGUUUAGGCACUUUCAUCUUCACAUCUUCAUUUAUUGCAGUCGAUGCCGGCCAUUUCCUCACCAUGGCCACCCCAGAUCUUGGUGAUUGAAUAUCCUUUAAUGAAACAGCACUCUUUUGAUCUGCCUCGAGGUUUUCCCCUAAUUCCUUUUGAUUCUGGUAGAAACCUAAAUCAAGAUUCAACAUCACCUUCUCAGGAAGUGAAAGUGCUUCGGAGUUACGCUGAUCCUGCAAGGUUAUAUUAGCAGCGGAAGAACUUACCUUCAUGGUCAUGAUCUGGUUGUGUAGUUUGUAGGUGUAGAUAAGGAAAAGCAUAUAUGAUGCUGAACACAUGAAAUGUGUGAAGUGUAUAUAUAGCGAGGUGAGGGGUGGGCUUCAUAAUGGUGCUUACACAUGGAGUUCUUGUUUAACACUGUACUUGUGCUAACAAGUGACGCGUGUUACGGAUACUUAGAAACAAAAGCGGGGAACUAUAUCGACCAUCCAAUUCUAUGCCUAGUCAUCAAGUCCAGCACAACUGCGGCCAACAUGUUUAUGUCACAUCUCUAUCUAGUUACUCAUUAUUUAUCUUUUUAGUAUUAGGCAUUCUAUUCAUUACUUAGAUGGAUCACAAAUUUAUAUACGAGGUAUUAUUUAACAUCUUAAUAAAAUCAAUAAGGAUGAUUACAAAUAUAUUUCAUGAAAAUAUAUUUAAAAUAUCAUAUUUUUAAAAUUACUCUUUGUAUUUAGUUAUUUUUGUUAUGCCUAUUCUAUAAUGGAUGAGCGGCUUUCGUAUUCGGCUUGUUUAGAUAUUUUAUUAAUUUUUCCUUAUUUUAUUCUCUCCCGCAUCCUAUGCUACGUCACCCGACCCAAUACAUUUAAAUAAUAUAUCGAGAUCCAAAAACAUAUCAUCUUUAAGCUUACAAAUCAGCAUAAGAUAUCUAAUAAAUUUCAAACAUAAGGGAAAAAAAUCUAUAAAUGAAGUUUUUGACACUCCAAAUAUCAAUUGAAAUUGUUUAACACGCAAUAACAAUUACAAUUUAACAUAACAUAUAUAGCAAAUAAAACAUAUCAACAUGAAAAUGCAAUAUAUCCUCAUUCAUCCAUCAGAGAUCAAGGGUUGGAAUCUUUAUUGGGAAUGCUAGGGGUCUUUUACAUAAACGGCCUCUCUAUCCUGUCCUUUUGAGUAAAAAGUAAAGUUGAAUAUGUACAUCUUGCUUUUCUCAAUGCACAAUUGUCUUUCCUUUGUAAAAAGAUACCUCUUCUCUGUCCUGACCAUUUCUUUACACUUGCCUUUUUGGAAUAUCUCUUCCAAUUCUUUACAUUUCAAAACUUAUCAAAUAUAGUAACAUUUAAUAAUAUAAAAAUUAACUACAUCCACUACUUUCCUCCACUAUACUUAUUUUAUAUAUUAAAUAUCUAGAAAGCAGGGGUGCAGCCCUCAGGUGGUGCACUGCGCACCCGGUGCGGCGGUGCGCGGGGGUGCGGCAGCAUAUGCACGGAGUGCGCCACCUGGCGUGUCGUCGUAUUUCUUUAGCGGGAUUCGUGGGGGUACGGAACAGGGGGUGCGGGAGGGGCACUUUUGGUAAAUUUUCUGGUCUCCGUUACCGACUCACCACCAUCAGCUUUCUUCUUCGGCGACGACGGCGACACUCUCCGGAGCCGAAGCGUCGCCUGAGAUAGAGGAGAGAGAUCGCAGGGAGAGGGAGAGAGAGAAGAAGAAAGAAAGGGAGAGAGAGAGAGAGAGACGUCGGAGAGAGAGAUUGACGAGGGAGACGAGGGAGAUGAAUAUCUAUGCGUAUAUGUAUGUUUAUAUUUGUGUGGUUUAUAUGUCAGGAUUAUUGAGGGUUAGACUUUACAUACUCUCAGUGUCUAGGAAGAAACAAAAGUAAUACUAUUGUACAAAGUCAGUCACAUGGGCAGCCCGCUUUCCCAGUUAGAAUUAUUAUUAUUAAAAGCUCUGUGGCUGUUAUCACCGCGAACAACAUGGAGGAUGAGUAUCACUGCAUCAGUAUCUUCUUUUUGGUUUCUUAAACACCCAACCAGGAUACGCAGAGUAUUUACAUGCACACAUACAAUUCAGAAUUUCAUUUAUUGAAUUACUGCAGUUUUGUCUUUUUUCUCUCUUUAGGAAAGAAAACUCCGGCUCAAACAAAAAUCAAAAUCAACAUAUUGGAUUAAUCUCCCUGUUUUUCUUGCAUCUAUUCCUUUUUUUUCACACUAACAGAGUUAUUGAUUUCUUUCAUCACUUUUUUUUUGUAAAAAUGAGAAUAAAUGUCACAAACAUGAAUCGGCAACUCACCGUGAUAAUUCUUUCUUUCAAGAAAGCUUAUCAUCUAGCCGUCGGACAUGCAAGAUGACUGGGGAAUUUAGACAAUAAAACUUUAAUGUCCAAAUAUAAAAACCCGUCUUCUUCCAAGAAUCCUGAAAAUGAAACAAAGGAAACAAGAAGAAUAUAAGUCGAUAUAAUAUACCAUAUUAUAUAUAUUAUAAAAAUAAAAAAUAUAUUCAAUAAUUAAUAAAAUCACGUGUAUAUGCAUGUGCUGAUCAAAAUAUUCACACAAUUAUGAUAACUCAUAAUUGAGACAAUUAAACUCUUAAUUAAGGCACAAUUAAUAAAAGAUUAACGCCCUCAAUUAAGACACAAUCAACGCCCUCAAAUAAGGCACAAUUAACAUCCUCAAUUAGGAGGCACAAUUUACGCCCUCAAUUAUGAGGCACAAUAAACGCCCUCAAUUAAGAGGCACAAUUAACGCCCUCAAUUAAGGCACAAUUAACGCCUUCCUUUUCGAAACCUGAUCCCAAAGGAACCGCCGUCGCCUCAACCCUCAGCCACCACCGCUACGCUAUCUCUCCCGCACACGAUCGCGAAGAGGACGAUGACCACCCGGAGCAUAUCCAUCGGUAGAAGUAAAUACACAGAAAAAGUUAGAUUUGAAUUUCAUUUAAAAUCCACGACAUUCAAACACUAAUGUAAAGCUUCGAAUUUGAAAUGACAAAUCAAAUCAUGAUAUUUGAAAUCCAAAAUUUGAAACGAAAAACAUGUUCUUAAACGCACAAAAUGAAGCUAAUCAACACACUUAAACAGGCCCUAACAUCCUAAACAGAGCAUCAAUCGAUCAUUACACGUCUAUUUCUUAGCAUAUUGAUCAUAAUAAAAGUGACCCACGUAAAUAAAAUAAUCCACAACAAGUGAAGCAUGCAUAUAGAGAUAAAAUAAAAGGGAGCGAAAAUACCUUGGAAAAAAUGAAGGAUACAUGGUUAAGGGUGAUUAUUUCUUUCAUCACUUUCAACCAAAUGAAAACACCAAAACAGAAAUAUGGAUUUAUGCUCGGUUUUAACAUAAAGACCAUCGUUUUCAAAGUUCUUCAUCAACACAUACACUGAUUUACAUGUACAUAGUUGUGGAGAAGAUUCUUAACUAUUUACUGUUAUUUUCGAGAUUUGGUGUGGAUAUACUGGAAUUAUUUGCAAGGAACAAUCAGAGAUGGAGAUACUGAUAACAUGGGUUUUUUUGGUUAUGACACUCUGGUAUGAAGAGAAGGGCUCAAAUCAUUCAAUUGACAGAGGAUUUCGCAAGACAGCUAUGUCUUUCCUUUAUGCAAGUUUUGUUGGCUAUAUGUAAAAGAAUUUUGAGAUUGUGAAAGAGCAUCACUUUCCUGGCAUUUGGUUGUUUCAAUCUGCAUAAACUGACAUGAAGUGCUUACGAUAAAGACGGACUAUUUUAUGAAUCUGUGACUCAUGUCACCUGAUAUUAAAAUGCCCGAGAACAUAUCAUUUCUAAAUCAGUGCCUGUUUCUUUUUUAGAUUUGCUCGUAUGCAAUUAAAAAAAAGUGUUCUCUAUAUGCAGCAGUAGUGAGGAAGACUAAUAGGCCUAAAAUACCAUUUAUCAAUUCACUAUUUCCUUCUCAUACAUUUAAUCCCCUUGUCAAUACUGAAGUUUUGCAACUUCAUUAAAGUCAUGUACACACGCACACACACACAGAAGAAGCUACAUAUGAUCUCGUUCUAAUCGGAAAUCAUACAUUUAGAGCUAGUUAGUCUAAUUGCUUGUGUCCAGAUGAAAGUGCUUGAGCCACGAAUCAUGACCAAGGUCCAGUGCAUACUCAAAGUUACAAUAACAUUUGCAUGACUUGAUAAAAAAAAACCACCUGCAACCAGCAGCUUUGAGUCACAACCCUAGCAAACCUGAGGUGUGGCAAAAACAUGGUAUUAAAAGCGUGAAGCUUUUAUAAUAUAUCAGAAAGUGGUGGCAGGGUGGCCCCUUUUUUCUGCAAUGUAAAAGAGUCUAUUUGUAGUAUCAUUCUGUAGCAUAUCAGGCUCUGAGGACUUGGGGAUUCAUUUUUUAAGGGCUUCAGGUGUAGGUGUAAUAUAAAUCCAUGUUCUUUUUUAGAGUGUCAUUGCUAAUUGUGGAUCUAGGAAUAUAGUGUAUAUUGCAAUUGGUGAUCAGAAGUACAAGUAGUGGCUUGUUUAUGAUCCUCUAAAUCUUAAAAUGCAUGUAUACUAUAUGCUGAGUGUGUGUGGACAGUGCACUGGUUUCAGAAUUGGCUGGGUAUCAUCAUAUAAUGGAGAGUGAGGUCAAAUAUCACUUGGAACAGUUUCUGCAAAGUUUCUCCGAUUCAUGUGACUGCUUGUUGUCAGUGGAACGACCUUAUCUCGGGAGUCAUCUAGUGAUGUAGAUUGAGCUACUAUUCUGUUCACCAAGGUAUUCUGUUCACUAAGGUAUGAUCAAGGCUGUUACCCGCAUCGGCUUUGAGCCAAAUCAUAAACUACCAAUUCUUGAAUAGCUACUUAUCAAAUACAUUAUUAUCAGAUACUUUGGGGUCGCUUAGCGAGCCCAAUUUAGGGUCGCAUAACGGGCCUGAUUUUUUAGUCAUUUUAAUUCGGGACCAUCUCGGGGUUGCUAUUAUCAUACAUGUAAGUAGCUUGAACAAUAAACUUCAACUGUAUUCGUGUCA
Long non-coding RNA from Daucus carota subsp. sativus, 6863 nucleotides. RefSeq lists it as uncharacterized. The record is from RefSeq and is a predicted model, not a curated record. The transcript is spliced from 5 exons. Lineage: Eukaryota; Viridiplantae; Streptophyta; Magnoliopsida; Apiales; Apiaceae.